UUUUUUUUUUUUUUUCUCUGUGAAGCAGACCUGAGGUGGUCCCCUUUUACUUAGGAGGCCAGACUUUUUGAGUAUGUGAACGCCAAACCUUCAAAGCAGCUGGUUAGGGGCAAUUUUUCCCCAGCAGAGAGGCAAAAUACUGUAAGAUGCAAUAUUUUAACUCAGUUCAGUGAAAGGUGUUGCCCCUAGGCGUAGUACUGAGUUGACUCCUAUUUUUCCUCUGUAUGUAUUUGGGGGCUUUAUGGCACAUCCUUGUUCCAUUUCUGUACAUUAUUUCAAGUCCUCUCUCACUUGAUGCUGAACUGCUAAUUCUGAAAUACUACAUUAGAGACUGUCUUCCCGCCUCUGCCUACCAGGAGGAAAGUCUCCUACCUUUUUUCUGUUGGUACUACUGUUUCCAUCCCCUUCCUAGCAGUGUCUGAGAUGUGAGUUUCAUGUGAAUUUUUGUGUGGGAUUAAUAUUGGCAGUAUCAAUAGGUCAGGUUAGUUGACAAGUUCAGUGUCUCUUCCCAUGUUGUGUCCAUGUCAGCCCUGCAGAGGUUCCUCGAGUUGUCCGCAGUGUUUGCUGUGUCCUGUCCAGGUCCAAGGCUUUGCGCUGCUCCUUUCACCUCCCUUCUACCUCCUCCCUCGCUAGCUGCUGCCCAGCCUGUCUUCCUGUGAAAUGGUGUCCGGUGGCUCAGCUCGCGUCCCUCUGCACUGUCCCCCUCGCUGUAGCGUUGUGAGCCAGCUUACUCUGAACUGUCCCUUUACAAAUAUGCUCAGUCUGAAUAUAUAAAUGGAUUGUCAUAUUUUUUUCCAGAGGAGAAUAAAUGGCUAUCCCGCAUUCACCGAUUUCCAUUAACUUUAUCCUUUAGCUUAAGCUCUCCAAAAUAUUUCUAGCAUAUGGGUAUGAGUUGCUUUAUUGAGACCAAACUGGGCUUGGCAAUGAAUAAGCAGGGUGCUGAGCCAGCACUGGAAUAAGCUUUUCUUCGUGAGGAAUGGGAGAUCUCUCCUGGUUCCCUGCAGCUGCUUCCAGCUGUGAGUGUUCACCACCCACACCUCCCUCCCCACCCCAAACGACAUUUCUUCCAGGAAAAUUUCAUCAAUACAUAUGUACCACAAAAUGCUGAUGGCAAGUUACUAAGUGGAUGCAUUGGAACAACUGCAUGGGUAUAACUGGAAAAAACAUAGUCGUCAGCAGAGCACUGUGCUUUUGUAUUUGGGGAAAAUACGAGUGCAAAGACAAACUGCAAAAUGUCUGUGAAGCUGUCUGGUGGGCACAGGAGUCCUGCAGGUGUGUGUUUGAAGCCAAGCAAUAACAUGCCAAAAACCAACACACAAAAAUGAGUCAAUAAUCACCAGCACACCUCAUGGAAAAUAUUUUAGGUUUUCACUUUGUUUUGCUGGGGCAGACUGUAGGCAACCUGCUAGUUUAACGCUGGUUAUUUAUGCUGUCUCCUGCGUACAAUGUCUAGAUGACAAUGUGAAUCCUCAUAGGGAUGAUGCAUCUUUCACCAGCAGCAAAACAGAACCAUGGUUUUGUUAACAAUUAGCAAAUAUUAUGUGAGUGGUCUUGUAGCAGCCAAAAAAGACUGUUCCUGGUGUCACAUCAGCGUUGAAAAUGAAAGUGUGCUUGGAGUAGUGGUAUGGCAGAGGGUAGGGGGAGAUGAUCCAUGUGCCCCCACUCUUUUUCUUUGCCCAGUGACUCAGAAUCACAUUGCACUGGUUGGAUGUUUAACAACCAAGGAAAUCCAUUUGGGCUAAUAAAAAGAGGGUUCAAAACAGAAAGUACUUUGUCAUUCCCAAGACUAAAUCUGUACAGAAAAAAAGAAAAAAGAAAAAGACCUGUGUUGCAGCCUAGCCAGUUGAAGUAACUCUUAAAUUCAAUGUGUUGCAAGAUGAGAAGUCUUGGGAAACAAGCUAAUUGUCAGGAAACUCUUCCUUGUUGGUUGCAUCUUCUGGGAAGGCUGACGUGCCAUAACCAUUAAUAAAAGCAGUGAAUGAGAAUGAAAGAGUUACUUCUAAUUUCACUUCAGGAGCUUUCCACCAGGAGAGAUGAGAAUAAGCAUGUUUCAACGUUGCCAAUACAAAACCUGAGUUGAAGGAGAACCUCACUGCAGGCAAUUUGCAAUAUAGUCCUGGAUUUCAUGUGAGGCUGUGACUCCACCUCUGUCUGUGUGCACUUGGUUGGUGUCUGCCAGCUUUGCAUUGCCUUGGGCACAAGUGCUGAAGUCCUGCCCCGUUUCUGCUGACUUGGUUUGGAAAAAAGAGUGGGGAAAGAGCUGGAGGGACAAGGAGGAGAAUAUCUGUCUUCUGCAUUUCAGAGGAAGAAAACCUUCUUUGGAAUAUACAAGAAGGAAUUGCUAAGAAACAUGGGGAGGGAGGGACCAAAAGAGAAGUAAAAUGAAGUUGAUGUAGGUGUUUUGCAAGGAAUUCCCCUUUCUAUGUCUAUAAAGCCAAUGUUUUGCUUAAGUUUUGCCUAUUUGUUCAUUCUGAGCUCACACAUUUUUCAUAUUGUUGGUGUCCCGUGGUUUUUAGGAAAAUGAACAUUUUCAAAGUCUGUAUAUUUUGCUAGUAUGCAAACAACCUCAGUUUAUUACUGCUGCUACCAUGUAAGAGCUUGUAAAGUCCACCAUUUGGAGAAGUAUAUUGAAGGGAUUCGGAAAAGGUGAAUAUAUGCUCUAAAGAGAACACUAGCUUUUAUCUUGAAUUUCAUGACUAUGUUGAAGUGUUAAAGCUACAAGUGGAAAUCCAAAUGGAAAUCAGCGUUGAAGUUGAUGGGAAAUUCAAAUUGUCUGCCAUUGGUUUUCAGUUUGGAAACUUGAUGGAAUCUACCAUACCAGUGUUUCAUUACUUAGCUCAGUAUAUGCAAGAUUUGUAUGAAAGUAGAAAUUUUAUUAGCUUAUUAGCUCCGUUGUCUUGUUGCGUGUCCAUCCUUCUACACCUUUUAAAAAUGAAUGCAAAAGAUUACCAAGACAGAGUAAGUCUUUCAUACCCAACUUACGGAAAUGGCUGCUCUGAAUGAGAGACAACUGAUUGUCAGGCUCCAUGGUCUUAGAAAGUUAAGGGCUACGGUCUGAAGGAAACCUUUCCCUCUGUUUGGUUUGGGUUUUUUCCCCCUGUUUUUGUAACAUCUCAACCUCUGCCAGUUUAUUUUUUGGUGACUCUGUGAUGCCUGUCUGAGUGGACAGCACUUUCAGUCAUCCCAAAGAUAUGCACAUAGAUCCCUAUCCAAAUGCCACACAUUACCAAAUAUCUCUGGAGUCACUGGAUGCUGUGGUGGUCCAUGGAGCUGAAGGUCAGGUCCUGUACAUUGAAAUGGCUGCAGUGUUCUCUUAGGGGCCUAAAUUAUGCCACUUGAGUCAGUGCAGAUGUUUAAAAGAAAGAAUUAAUUAUUACAGCUGAAUCGAGCCAAACUGAAAUGAAUAUAAUCCCUUUUUUUUGAAACUCUGAGAUUUAUUGGGUUUUCUGCUUUGUAUUUUUCUGAACAGCUCUUCCUUCCCAGCAUUUAUAAUGUGGAUUUUUCAUCAAAUCCUGACAAGGAAGAUUUUGCAAUGUGAAACAUAUCUUUCAUCAUUCAGGCUUCUUUAAAGAAGAAAAUGAUGUUAAUACUGAGCCCAGUCACACAGAGAGGAAAUAUUUUUUCCUCUAGGAAAAUGUUUGCUGUAGGUAAGCUUAUGUGUUGCAUGUGUCCAUGUUUAAAAGGGGCAUACACAUGUGCAGGUCUCAUGCAUUACUCAUACUCAUUAAGAUGAUUUUUUUCCCAUUGCCCUUCUGAUUGAAUGCUGGAGGCUUAGCAUUUUCCACAAGUUUGAAGCAAGUUUAGAUCACUCUGCAAUACAGAAACAAGGAUUUUCUCCUUAUCUGGUCUCAAAAAAUUCCCACAGCCAUAUCUAAAAAAAAACCACCAGUUGGCCAACCUCUGGGUCUAGACUGUCAACAGAAAGUGCAGUGGCUGGGGUGUACAGAGCUGUACACUGGCUCCUGAGCUUUGUGGAAAUCCACCCUUGUAUGUACAAACUGGCUUCUACACAAAGACAAUGUGUGAUAGCAAGCAUCUGAGCUCAUUAGGAACAGAAUCAUGUCAACUGGGUCCCAUUUGAAAUACUAGACCUUAAGUUUUUGUUAGCUUUCUGCUUAGACUGACACUAUCUGGAGUAGAAAUAAAUGACAAUUCUGCCAGCAAAGUCUCCAGCAGUUUGCUGCAGAAUACAAGUCUCUCCGAUGCUUCUCAGCAGCUCUGCUACAACAGGCAACCCUUCUGUUGGAGGGUCCUCCUGACAACACUUCCCUUAGCCCAGUUCAUAAUCAAUAGUUUCAAGUACAUCAAACACAAGUUUAGACAGUGCCCUGAAGAAUUUCAGUAAAAUGGUAAAGAUCCAUGCAUUCGUGGUACAUAAAAUCACGUCUGAAGUUAAGGUCUCGGCUGCACCCUGAAAAGUGUUGGGAGUUUCUACCCAGAGUUAAAGGGAGAGAGGGUAGGUGAACUUUGAAUUCCUGGCUGUUGCAAGCACCACAGAAAUGAUGGCUGUGAAUCAGUCAGCAGCAGCAGAAAACCAACUUGGGGGCUUCUAACAACAACUAAUAUUAUUGUGGCUUUAUUAUUUUUAUAGUUACACUGACUGAACGUGAUGUACUGUACAAAGUAAAGCUAGUAUUAGGCUUCCAGGUGUACCGUGGCAUUCAUUCGAGACAUACCAACAGAAGUUUGCAUGUGAAGAAGUCUUACAGUGGUACUAAAGCAAUGUUACCCACCUGAUCGAGUCCCUUGGGAAUUUAAUGUUUUGCUGUUUUACAUCUCCUGGUUUCCAUGCUGAGUACAAUAAAAUGAACACUGUC
Aquila chrysaetos chrysaetos is the source of this 4817-nucleotide long non-coding RNA. RefSeq lists it as uncharacterized. The transcript has 2 exons. The record is from RefSeq and is a predicted model, not a curated record. NCBI's taxonomy places the organism in Eukaryota, Metazoa, Chordata, Aves, Accipitriformes, Accipitridae.